AAGACCUUGCGCUUUUGGAGCGGCCGAUGCCUGAUUAGCUUGUUGGUAAGGUAAAAGCUUACCAAGGCUUCGAUCAGUAGCUGGUCUGAGAGGACGACCAGCCACACUGGGACUGAGACACGGCCCAGACUCCUACGGGAGGCAGCAGUGGGGAAUUUUGGACAAUGGGGGCAACCCUGAUCCAGCCAUGCCGCGUGAGUGAAGAAGGCCUUCGGGUUGUAAAGCUCUUUCAGCCGGAACGAAACGGUUACGGAUAACACCCGUGACUACUGACGGUACCGGAAGAAGAAGCACCGGCUAACUACGUGCCAGCAGCCGCGGUAAUACGUAGGGUGCGAGCGUUAAUCGGAAUUACUGGGCGUAAAGCGCGCGCAGGUGGUUUUGUAAGUCAGAUGUGAAAGCCCCGGGCUCAACCUGGGAACU
RNAcentral lists this ribosomal RNA (423 nucleotides) under uncultured bacterium. Its description in RNAcentral is "bacterial SSU rRNA". It matches the Rfam family "Bacterial small subunit ribosomal RNA", at positions 207 to 622 of the family's 1533-position model. The record is from RNAcentral.